RNAcentral lists this ribosomal RNA (492 nucleotides) under uncultured bacterium. RNAcentral describes it as "partial 16S ribosomal RNA". It matches the Rfam family "Bacterial small subunit ribosomal RNA", at positions 29 to 507 of the family's 1533-position model. The record is from RNAcentral.
AGUGAACGCUGGCGGUAGGCCUAACACAUGCAAGUCGAACGGCAGCACAGUAAGAGCUUGCUCUUACGGGUGGCGAGUGGCGGACGGGUGAGGAAUACAUCGGAAUCUACUUUUUCGUGGGGGAUAACGUAGGGAAACUUACGCUAAUACCGCAUACGACCUACGGGUGAAAGCAGGGGAUCUUCGGACCUUGCGCGAUUGAAUGAGCCGAUGUCGGAUUAGCUAGUUGGCGGGGGAAAGGCCCACCAAGGCGACGAUCCGUAGCUGGCCUGAGAGGAUGAUCAGCCACACUGGAACUGAGACACGGUCCAGACUCCUACGGGAGGCAGCAGUGGGGAAUAUUGGACAAUGGGCGCAAGCCUGAUCCAGCCAUCCCGCGUGGGUGAAGAAGGCCUUCGGGUUGUAAAGCCCUUUUGUUGGGAAAGAAAAGCAGCAGGUUAAUACCCCGCUGUUCUGACGGUACCCAAAGAAUAAGCACCGGCUAACUUCGUG